AUACGGAGGGUGCAAGCGUUAAUCGGAAUUACUGGGCGUAAAGCGCGCGUAGGCGGAUAUUUAAGUCUCAUGUGAAAGCCCUGGGCUCAACCUGGGAACUGCAUGGGAUACUGGGUAUCUAGAAUACAGUAGAGGGUAGUGGAAUUUCAGGUGUAGCGGUGAAAUGCGUAGAGAUCUGAAGGAACAUCAGUGGCGAAGGCGACUACCUGGACUGAUAUUGACGCUGAGGUACGAAAGCGUGGGGAGCAAACGGGAUUAGAAACCCUAGUAGUCC
This 274-nucleotide ribosomal RNA is filed under the name uncultured bacterium. RNAcentral describes it as "partial 16S ribosomal RNA". It matches the Rfam family "Bacterial small subunit ribosomal RNA", at positions 523 to 796 of the family's 1533-position model. The record is from RNAcentral.